Long non-coding RNA from Felis catus (domestic cat), 1822 nucleotides. RefSeq lists it as uncharacterized. NCBI's taxonomy places the organism in Eukaryota, Metazoa, Chordata, Mammalia, Carnivora, Felidae. The transcript has 5 exons. The record is from RefSeq and is a predicted model, not a curated record.
AAAGUGGUGUCCAAGUCAGCUGCAUCUGGCUGUAAUGGGCUCAGCCCAUUCAAAGGCAAACAAUGGUUGACUUUAAGGAGCCAGGCAGAGGCAGAUGAAAGCAUCCUUUAGGUCGAGGCAUGUAAACCAUCUGGCUGACCCCGGAAUUUGGCUGAGGAGAGUAUAUGGGUUCAGAACCACUGGGUGUAAGGAAACAGUCACUUUGUUAGUGGCCCUCAAUUCCUCUACUGGUCGGUAUCCUCCUCCUGGCUUCUUGACUGGCAAGAGCGGGGUAUUCCAAGCUGAUUGGCAUUCAAUUAGAAUACCUGCUUCUCUAUGCUUGGUCAGGUGCUCUUGUAUAUCCAUCCUAGCCUCGAGUGGAAGGGGGUACUGCCUUUGUCUCUGAGGUUGGGCUCCAGGGAUCAGGUCAGCAAUGAAGGGCGCCCGAUUCUAAGCUAGUGCAGGUGGGUUAUCUUCAGCCCAUACUGAGGGGAAUGUAAGCCUGAAUUCUGAGGGGCUAUAGGGUAAGGGCUGGGCACAGAAUAGUCUCCAUUCUUCUUCCCUUGGCAGGGUAAUUGCCAAGACCAGGAUUUCCUUCUGCCUUGUAUUUAAUUGGAGGCUAGUGUCUCCAGUAGGUUCAAAAGUUAUCUGGGCCCUAAGUUUGGAGAGCAGAUCCCAGCCCAGGAGAGUAACUGAGCAGUCAGGUAAGUAGAGGAACUCAUGCCGGACCUUGUGACCCCCAAGUUCACAUUGUCAAGCUUGACAGAAGGGCUGCUGCAUCGCCCAUGUCCCAGUAACCCCAAGUAUGGUUGCCAUCUUUUGGCUUAAGGGCAUCACCGGGGAAGUAACAAUGGAAUAUUCAGCCCCAGUGUCAACCAUGAAAUUUAUUGUGUGGCCCCCUACCUUCAUUUAGAUUGUGGGCUCAAGGGGGCCAAGAGAGAAAGAGCCUGGUCCCCCUCAGUCUGAUUCUACCCCAGCCAGACCAACGAGGUUCUUGCCUCAAGGUUUCUCCCAAUAUCGGCUGGGUUUUGAGGGCCCCUUCCGAUUCAGACAUUCAUUCAUCCAGUGUCCCUUCUCUUUGCAGUAUGCAUAUUGGUCCCUUGCUAAGGGGGUAUGGGCUUCCCCCCUUUUGGUGGUUGGGGUCUUCCCAUCUUUGCAGCAUCUGUUUCUUUUAGUGCUGCUGUGAGAAGGGUGGCCUUCUUUGUUAGUCUUCUCUCUUCUUCUCUUUCAGCUGUGACUUCUCUGUUCAUGAAAACUUUGCUGGCAACCUCUAUCAGCUGAGUGAUAUUCAUCCUGGCAAAGACCUCCAACUUCUGGAGUUUUCUUCUGAUAUCUGGGCAGCCUGUGCCACAAAAGAGUUUCACUAUGAUAUGUCGUGCAGAAGAUUGAUUCAAGUUAUGUCUGCUGUGCCUCUUGGAUUUCAAUGCCUGUUUCCUCCCCCAGAUCAGAGGACCCUCUCUCCAUUCCUGCUUCUGGACAGAAGACCUCUAUUCCACCAAGGAAGGGACACUUCAGAAUCUGGAAAACAAAGAACACCAAAUUCCUGGCUUUUAAAUGAAGCAAACGAAUGGAAAACUGCUCUUCAUGUCUAAGGGAAGAAGAUUCGGCAGGAUAGCUACCAAAGGACCAAUGCUGUGAUGCUGCAUGAGGCCUCUGCACUAUGAUGUCGCUCCUGGGAAAAGAAAGAGGGUUUGACUUUUUUCGAUUCUACGUAGAAGUGAUAUCCUACAGUAUUUUCCCUGACUUAUCCUGUGAAGUAUAAUGGGCUCAAGAUCCAUCCAUGACACAAAUGGAAAUAUCUUUUCUUCUCGUAACUGAAUAAUACUCUAUUGUAUAUAUGCAC